GUUGCAUCAGCAGCAUUUAUUGAGUGAACAGAGGUGAGUUCAACAUUCAGUAUUAAUCGUGCACAAUCUAGAGCAAAAGAUUGGUCUGGACCCCUUGCUCCAUACACAGUGGCCAAAGCCAUCUUCCAAGGGGAGCAUAUUAAAAUUCCCCCCAAACCCAGGCUUGCUGUGUCCUGAGAGGUCUUGAAAUCCAGUGACCUCUCUGAAGCCUAGCAGUUGGCCAAGCAGGAGCUGGGGCUUGGGUUCAAGCUAAGAGCUAACCCAGCUCUAAGCAGACUCUGCCAUGGUUCAAGGUUUUCUAGCCUUUGUAAAACAUCUCACAUGCGCGUCAGACCACAUGUGGGGGAAAGCUCUGCCUCCGCAGGUGACUUAACUGCUGUUCAGAUGUGAGCAAUUAGGUCCUCGGAGAAAGCUGUAAAUGCAAGACCUCAGGCUUCUGCUGAGAAGGGAACUGAGGAGUGCUGAGUAGCUUCUACACGCCAGCAUAGAGCUGGGUGACCCACACACUGUCACUAAUGAUUAGAAAAGACGAAUAUUGGAAUCGACAAAACAAAAUGAAGGUAAAGUGCGUGGAGGAACCAAAGGAGAUAUUUUUCUGAUGAGGCUUUGAGAGAAAGAUAAACUGAAGUAAAGACAGGCCGACAGGGGCCUGUGGCACUACACUCUUGUCUGUCUUGGAGAAGGUGCUGGAUGAGCACAUUAAGAGGUUCUGCCACAUCCUGGCAUGGCAUUUACCUGAGCAGCAGGAAGUCAUCUGUCCCGUGUACUGAGGAAAAGGAUGGAGAAAUAGCCCACAGGCACGUUUCUCCUUAACAGCCCUGACCUCCGUGGGUUUAUAAAAAUGCCCAAAGCUUCUCCUAAGCCAGGUAUCCAGACUGUUCUGCUGAGGAGUCAUUACUCACAAGUGAGGCAGGACUCUGGCUGGGGAAUUAACUCAUAUUUUACCUCAAUGAGCCUCUCACUUUGUAGGAGAGGAAACCAAGGUUUCUAAAUGUAAACUGUCCAUGUCACAGACAGCUGUGGAAAUUAGAUCUGGCUGGCCCCAAAGCCCUGAAAUAGUGCCUCCCAGGUCCGAAUAGAAACAGAGCAUUCAAGCCAGGGAUGCAACAGCAUCCAAAUACUGUGACUGAGUCAAAGAUUCUCAUUUGUGCUAUGAAUUAAUUUCAAAUCCUAUCUUAAAAGAGGAAAAGAUAUUGCAAAAGUCCCUUAAAUUCAACAUGUCCAAGAACAACUCAUGACUUCCCACUCCCAACAAAGUCUGUUUCUACCCGUGUUUCCUCUCUCAGUGAGUGGUACCGACACCCGUCUAGUUCUGCCAGCCAAGGAUGUGGAAGUCAUUCUGGACCUUUCCACGACCCCCACAGACACACACACGUACACACCAUACCCAGUCCAUCACCAAAUCCUGCCGAUUCUACCUUCUAAAUAUCUAUCAGAACUAUCCACUUCUCUCCAUACUGGCUGCUCCCUCUACAGUCCAGGAUAUCACCUCCCCUGGACAUCUGCAGCCUCUCAGCAUCUCACCCCUACACCAACCAUAGCCUCACCCAGCUCCUUCCAUUUCGUGUAUUGCAGCCAGAAGGUUCUUUUUGGAAUGUAACCUGACCACAUCCACACUUGGCUGCCCUUUCCCCAGUUCUUAAAACAUCCCAAUGGCUUCCCAUUGUUGAUAAGACAGAGAACAAAGUCUUCAGGAUGGCCCUGCAUGGAGUGACUGCCUGCUUAUCUCUGCAGACUCAAGUCGAAUUAUUCUCCUUCCCUGUGUGUUCCAACCACUUGCAGUCUUAUUUGCAAAUGGUCAAACAUCCCAGGCUUCUUCCCUUCAUAGACCUUUGUAGGCACAAGGAAUCCACACAGAACAUUCCUCCCCACCCUCACCCGACUGGUGACUGCUCUCCAUCCUCAGAGUUCAGCUCAAAUGCUGCAUCCCAACAGAGGCUUUCCUUAAGCCCCCAAGCUGAGACGUGCCUUCUCCUUAGACCCUCACAUAGCGUCUGGCAGCUUCCGAUCGUCACCCUCAUCAAGGCUUAAAUUACACUUGUAUGUACGUGAUUGUCUGCUCCUCACCUUUGCCCAGGCGUAAGCCCCGUGGCGGCAGAGAUGCAUCUGUGUUCCUCCUCUGAAGCACUAAUACCAAACGCGAUCCCUGACACCCAGGAGGUGCUCACUAAGUUCUUGUAGAGGACAGAAGGAAAGAAGAAAGGAAUGUGCUGGAGACUGCUAACCUGCAUCCUAAGUCUGGGAUUGCCUUGGGACGUGGGCGGGGUCAGGAGCCCAGCCACUAAGAGCGAGAGAAGAGCUGGUUAUGAGGAGGCUGCCGCCAGGGCUGCUCUACCCUCCCUGCAAAUCGCCUUGGUGGCCACCUUAGAGAGGGCCUGAGCUGGAAUCUCCCUGAUGGGACCUCCUUCAGCAUCUGUCCUACUUUUAUAUGGGGCAAAAUCAGAGAGUAGUUAGGAUCUGAAAAAACAUUAAUAACUUGCAUUGAACUAAAAUUCUGACCACAUUUAUGUGAGCAUUACCUGUCCAGUACAGUGACUACAGAGUACUUGGUUUAGGUAAUCCUUGCAUGUCUCACAAAGUGACUGCAGGGUACUUGUUUUAGGUAAAGCUUGACCUGUCCCACAAGGUGACUGCAGGGUACUUGGUUUAGGUAAGCCUCACCCAUCCCACAAGGUGACUGCGGGGUACUUGGUUUAGGUAAGCCUCACCCAUCCCACAAGGUGACUGCGGGGUACUUGUUUUAGGUAAGCCACACAUGUCCCACAAGGUGACUGCGGGGUACUUGUUUUAGGUAAGCCUCGCGUGUCCCACAAGGUGACUGCAGGGUACUUGUUUUAGGUAAGCCUCGCAUGUCCCACAAGGUGACUGCAGAGUACUUGGUCAGUCAGUGUUGUGCUGUGUUUUCCCUCGCAGCUGUUCAGUACUAAUGUUUCUGUGUGGCCCCACCAGACUCCUUUUCCAGGUGUCACCACUGCCCAGACUCUCUCCCUGCAGCGUCACCUUCCCUUCCCCCUGUUCCCUGUGGGGACUGCAGUGAGGGAACCUCAUCUAGUUCCACUUCCAGUUCCUGGGGUUGCUUCCUGCCUCAGACCUCCUCCUCUGUGAGGUUGGCACCUGGUGGUUCUUAGAGAGACACUGACUCCCAUACGAAGCAUAACACGCCUCUGGGCUGCCAUGUCUGCACCAUGUCAAUCCUGCUUCUGUGCUCAAAGGGCUCCAAAAGCACGUUAAUUACAGUCCACAAGCUGAUAUCCUGGGUUUAGCGCAGACAGAGAAGGAUGUCCGUGCACACGGCCUCGCCUGCGCCUGAGCGCUCUCUCCUGCUCAGGUGAGAGGACCACUUGAAAAGGCACUACCCGUCGCUUCCCUGCCAGGGUGGCUCAGCAGCACCACAUUGCAGACACUCAGAAAGCUCCUGCCACUGGCACCAAGACAACGUUUCUGGGAAACAGAGAGCAAGAGGCUGCAAUAAUGCUGGUAGCACCCAGGGCCCAUCACUUAUCUACUGAUUGCGAAACAAACCAGGGCUUCAAAGAGAAGAGCGUGUGCUGAAAAGUCUAUUUGAUCCGCCCUUUAAAGUGAAAAUGAAGCCUCUUCAUGAGGAGCAGACCGACCCCAUAAGCUUAUAGCUCCAGUUUCUUCCACCCACCAAUACAGCGUGCAGGUAGCUCACCAGGAACUAAGACACCAUCUUCAAACCGAGCUCCCAUUCUGGAAGCAUCGGCUUCAGCAGACAAAAGGGAAUGCAGACCCACCAGCUAAAAAGAGUAAUGUUUUUCCUGGCCUAGAGGCUUGAGUACUUUCAUCAGAAAGAACUGGGUGGGAGAACUCUCGGGUACGACUUGGGUGGGCCCCUGCCCAGUUCUGGAGGGGAAGCUGCCAGGAGAACAUAGACUAAGUAAACAUGUCCCCACUCCACCACAGUUUGUGGUCUGGCGCUUGCUCCAUGUGGCCCCGAGAGGUGGGAGCUACAAACACAAUGGGACAGAAGCUACAAAAGGACAGAUUUGGGUUCAACAUGAGCAGGAAAUAAGAGAGCAGCCUCAAGACAGUGUUGGCACCCUCUGCAGCCACGAGCUCUCAGUCAGUGCAUGUCCCAUCACCCAUAUGUGAGUGAGGAACCUCAGGCUGGAUGGGGUGAGACACCUGGCAUCCUCCUCCAAAGGAAUUACAUCUGUAGGCAGCGUCUCAAUGGGAAUCACAAUCAGAAAGCCCAGAACAUCGUCCAAAGGAGAAGAAAAGGAAAACAAAUACAUCCAAAAGAAACAGACAUGCAGGAGAGAAUCCUUAUCCAAAGACAAAGGAAGAGAAGCAAAAGCCAAGAUUUAAAGUGAAGGAUGAGAAGCAAAGCCUUGCAGGAGCUCCUGAGGUGAGCAGCAGACUGAGACAGCCUUCUGGUCUCGGGUUUGAAGCACCAACGUUGGGCCGUGACUUGAUCGAUCUAAAGUGGACAGCUUCUUGUUUGGGUGUCAUAGAAGGCAGCCAAGCUUUGGGUGAGUGGUGGGACUUCAUCAGUGUUCCGAUGGAACUGCUACAUCUCCAAAUUACAUGUCGUCCUUCGUGAGUGCAGGCCCAUGUUUUUCUGGAGAGUUGACAGCUUUUG
This is a long non-coding RNA of Equus caballus (horse), 4603 nucleotides long. The record is from Ensembl. NCBI's taxonomy places the organism in Eukaryota, Metazoa, Chordata, Mammalia, Perissodactyla, Equidae.